UGGAGCGGCAAGGUAGCCAGAUCUCGGAGCUGCAAUUCAAACCCCUGCCUGGCUUGCCCCACGCCCGCAUGGUGCGGGACUCCGCACGGCACUGGCAGGCGUACGAUGCGUUUGCGCGCGUCGCGAUGAACUUGGGGACGAUCUUGCAG
This 149-nucleotide non-coding RNA is filed under the name Scrippsiella hangoei. The record is from RNAcentral. Lineage: Eukaryota; Dinophyceae; Peridiniales; Peridiniaceae.